GCUAACUUAGCUCAGUUGGUAGAGCAGCUGACUUGUAAUCAGCAGGUCGUCGGUUCGACUCCGACAGUUAGCU
This 73-nucleotide transfer RNA is filed under the name Orenia metallireducens. Its description in RNAcentral is "tRNA_Thr_TGT". It matches the Rfam family "tRNA". From Rfam's summary of the family: Transfer RNA (tRNA) molecules are approximately 80 nucleotides in length. Their secondary structure includes four short double-helical elements and three loops (D, anti-codon, and T loops). The record is from RNAcentral. Lineage: Bacteria; Bacillati; Bacillota; Clostridia; Halanaerobiales; Halobacteroidaceae.